CCUUCAGUUAUUGCUUCCAAUGCUCUGUCCUCCUCUGUCUGCCAUUCUCACACAUAAUUGAUAAUUUUGUGCCUUUUUUCCAGGUUGUGAAUGCACACAAUAAACUGAGCUGUGCCAAAAAACCUGAAAUGAUGAUGCAUCCUGCUUGCUCAUCCUGGAAGCGCUGGGCACAGCCAAUCUGACAGCCUUGAACAUUGCCCAAUGUGCUGUGACCGGCAUGAGCCACCGCUUCGCUGCUCAUCUUCAUCCCAGUCUUCAUGGCCACCUCAACGUGCACUGUCCUUGGGAACAACCUGACAGAAGGAAUAGGAGUCAAUGGCAAGCUGAAUUUUAGGGAUGGCAACACCACCCUACGGCCUAAUUCUCAGUGUACCAUACCAGCCUGGGUUCAUUUAUCCACCAGGCAGAUGGUUUUCUGUGGCCUCGAUCAACGGCACAGUAAUGGGUCACUCAAGUGACUACUGGAGCACAACAAGAUCAAUGUCAGGACAGCACUAUUCACUCCAAAUAUCGAUGACCUGGAAGGAGUCAUGUAAAAGGAUGGGACCUGCGUGGGAAGAGGCUCGCGAGAAGAAAAUAUACAUAAGAAUGAUACAACUCCAAACAACCUGAAUUGGCCAAGAAGUAGAGGUAUAUGGAGCAGUUUAAUGCAAAGAGAACUGAGAGUAUUCUUUGGGAAAAAAACAAAAUAAGUCACACUGUUGUGCUCUCUUUGUCCUACGUUACAGAGUAUGAAGGGAAGGCAGGCAAGCAGAGCAGAAAGUUGGUUAGAGAACCUGUAAAUGUGCACAUAAGUAAGGAAGACAAGAGGCAUUGGUGGGGCUUGGCAGAAUUAAAUCAACUGACAGCAUGAGGCAAAAAACUUUCUUUGUAUCUUUAAGUGUUUAUUCACUACACUUCUGCUAGUUCGGAGACCACCAGGUUCCACCUGAACUAAAUUAAUCAGCCUUAUAUAGCUGUACCUUAGUAUAUGACUUCAUGUUUAGCCAUCUCAAACCAGCCUUCCAGAUACAUCUAGGUUACCAGCUUUUUUGCUUCUCAAAGUUUUGAACCAACUUCUUGUCAGGCUUCUUUGACUAGAAAUUGAAAUUGCAGUGAGUGGCUCUGGCUAAAUCGGGAAGAAUUAGUAUUAAUGUAUUGAUCAGAUUAUCAGAGUUGAUCCAAGCUAUGCCCAAACUUUCCACUGAACGACCUAAAAAAAAAUACAUCAUAAGUCUUCACCAUGGCUUAUCUGUAUUUCAGGUUAUGUAGUCAUGUACUAUAAUGAAAAAAAUCUCUUUUUGAGUGUUAUUUUCAGCUUUGCGAAAUAAUCCAGAGCUGGCAGUUUUUACAGUUUCAGUCCAAGACCGAGCCUCAAUAAGCUCACACAGCUCUAAUGAUUGUUAGUGAAAAUGUAAUGGGCCAUUUGAAAUACAAAUGAACACUGGUAGGUAAAGGGAUUUUUUUUUUGGUGGAAUCAAUUUACACUAGCUAUUUAAAAAAUAUUAAAAUAAAUGUAAUGUCAUUAAAUGUAAGCUCAAAACCCAUUGAGAGCAUUAGUGGCCAAAUCUGCCAAAAAAGUAGUCAUGCCAAGAAUACAGGGCCAGAUUCUGCUCCCAAUUACAUUGGUGUUAAGCCAGGAUAACUCCCUUAAUUUCAACAAGCUUGUUCUGAAAUAAAGGCAGUGUUAAGUGGGAGCAGAAAGGAACUCGUUUCCCCUCCAGGCAUUUUUUGAAGGGCCUCAAUUUACCCUCAGUGACGUGUCUCGUUUCUCACCAGCUUCAGGUAUCCUCUACAUUUAUUCAGCAACCCCUUUCACCAAGACAAGGAGAUGGGACUGACCUCCAGAACAACAGCAAAGGUCCAGUGCAGCAUUUGAGGAGGAGUGAGAAAAAAAUUAAUAGACUAAAACAGUAAGAAGAGCUAAUAAGAGUCUGUCACUGCAGAAUAGUUGACAGCCAAGUAGAGUUCAAAGUUUUGAGGGCAGCUCUUUAAAAAUAGUGAUUAAUUUUAUAUUACUUACCAAGAAAAGGAA
Molecule: long non-coding RNA, 2014 nt
Organism: Columba livia (rock pigeon)
Lineage: Eukaryota; Metazoa; Chordata; Aves; Columbiformes; Columbidae
Exons: 3
Source: RefSeq, a predicted model, not a curated record